ACAAGCGUAUCCAUAGUCUCUUCCGUCAAAUGUUCAUCAUGUUAUUGAGAAGUCAUACAUUUCAUCGAUGAAAGGUCAGUGGCAAAAAGAAAAGCUAAUUGGGUGUGGUAUGUUUGGAAGUGUUUAUCUUGCAACUAACACGUAUGAAUGGCGUCCUAGCUUAGCACUAUUUAUAUAUAAUUAGGUGUUUAAUGAACUCUUCCUUGUAGUUAUUUUCAUACUUUCUAAAGAAAUUGGAGCUUUAUUUGUAAUGAAAGAAGUUGAUCUCGUUCUUGAUGAUGCUAAAUCUAUUGAAUGCAUAAAGCAACUAGAGCACGUAUUAAGUAAUGUUCUUUCUUGGCGUCCAAGAAUGUUAUCCAAGUUUGGCAGUACAGGAAGAUGAACAGAUGGUUUCAUGAGACGGAACUUUCCAUUAAUGGUUGUGCCUCGUUUUCACAACACGCUAACAACACGAGCUCUGAUUGUCUCCUACAGUCAUCCUAACGAUAUGUCAUUUUUUCCUACUCGUUAUAAUUAAUAAAAAAAUAUUAUUUUA
Long non-coding RNA from Cucumis sativus (cucumber), 535 nucleotides. RefSeq lists it as uncharacterized. The record is from RefSeq and is a predicted model, not a curated record. The transcript has 2 exons. Lineage: Eukaryota; Viridiplantae; Streptophyta; Magnoliopsida; Cucurbitales; Cucurbitaceae.